Molecule: ribosomal RNA, 406 nt
Filed under: uncultured bacterium
Lineage: Bacteria
Description: partial 16S ribosomal RNA
Rfam family: Bacterial small subunit ribosomal RNA
Source: RNAcentral
AUUGAACGCUGGCGGCAGGCUUAACACAUGCAAGUCGAGCGAGCGGCGGACGGGUGAGUAAUGGCUGGGAACCUGCCUGCUGGAGGGGGAUAACUACGGGAAACGGUAGCUAAUACCGCCUACCAUAAGAUGGGCCCAAGUGGGAUUAGCUAGUUGGUGGGGUAAUGGCUCACCAAGGCGACGAGCCCUAGCUGGUCUGAGAGGAUGACCAGCCACACUGGAACUGAGACACGGCCCAGACUCCUACGGGAGGCAGCAGUGGGGAAGAUUGCACAAUGGGCGCAAGCCUGAUGCAGCCAUGCCGCGUGUGUGAAGAAGGCCUUCGGGUUGUAAAGCACUUUCGGUGAGGAGGCGUUAAUCGCAGAAGAAGCACCGGCUAACUCCGUGCCAGCAGCCGCGGUAAUAC